This 60-nucleotide small nuclear RNA is filed under the name Erpetoichthys calabaricus (reedfish). RNAcentral's name for it is "U7 small nuclear RNA (ENSECRG00000011264.1)". It matches the Rfam family "U7 small nuclear RNA". From Rfam's summary of the family: Animal histone pre-mRNAs are spliced by a different mechanism than nuclear pre-mRNAs and self-splicing introns. The record is from Rfam by way of RNAcentral. Lineage: Eukaryota; Metazoa; Chordata; Cladistia; Polypteriformes; Polypteridae.
CAAUGGAUUUUAGCUCUUUAAGUGUUUGUCCAGUAGGUUUUCUCAUGAGAGAAAGCCCCC